UACGUAGGGAGCAAGCGUUGUCCGGAAUCAUUGGGCGUAAAGCGCGCGUAGGUGGCUUCAUAAGUCCGUUGUGAAAGUCAAAGGCUCAACCUUUGAAAGCCGAUGGAUACUGUGGAGCUAGAGUACGGAAGAGGCGAGUGGAAUUCCUGGUGUAGCGGUGGAAUGCGCAGAUAUCAGGAGGAGCACCAAUAGCGAAGGCAGCUCGCUGGGACGUUACUGACACUGAGGCGCGAAAGCGUGGGGAGCGAACAGG
This 253-nucleotide ribosomal RNA is filed under the name uncultured bacterium. Its description in RNAcentral is "partial 16S ribosomal RNA". It matches the Rfam family "Bacterial small subunit ribosomal RNA", at positions 524 to 776 of the family's 1533-position model. The record is from RNAcentral.